RNAcentral lists this ribosomal RNA (253 nucleotides) under uncultured bacterium. Its description in RNAcentral is "partial 16S ribosomal RNA". It matches the Rfam family "Bacterial small subunit ribosomal RNA", at positions 524 to 776 of the family's 1533-position model. The record is from RNAcentral.
UACGAAGGGGGCUAGCGUUGCUCGGAAUCACUGGGCGUAAAGCGCACGUAGGCGGAUUGUUAAGUCAGGGGUGAAAUCCUGGAGCUCAACUCCAGAACUGCCUUCGAUACUGGCGAUCUCGAGUUCGGGAGAGGUGAGUGGAACUGCGAGUGUAGAGGUGAAAUUCGUAGAUAUUCGCAAGAACACCAGUGGCGAAGGCGGCUCACUGGCCCGAUACUGACGCUGAGGUGCGAAAGCGUGGGGAGCAAACAGG